GUGGGGAUGAUCUCCAGGGCCCGCGAGCUGCCUCGCUCGGAGCCAGGCCACAUGCUCAUGCACUACGUUGCUAUCCAGCACAUUUACAUGGACUCAACAAUAAACAAACGAACGUCCUGUCCUCACCGGGCGGCAAAAUGUGACAGAGAGCGUGCCGUCAACUUCAUUGCGAAAAGAGAGAGUGGAAACUGGCGGGAGUGUGUGUGUGUGUGUGUGGCGAGAGCAGGUGAAUGAGAGCGCUUAAGGGUUGGGUUAUUUUUGGGGAUGGACCGCGUUCGUGCCACUGCACAUGCGCUUUGGCUGACAUUUCCAACCCGUUGGCAUUUCGUCAUCGAUGCCACCCACCCCCGCCAUGACGCAACCCACCUCCCCUCCUUCGCUAUCGCAGACUUCUUCGACUACCGCAAUUUAUGUGCACACACACAGUCACAGCAGCAGAGACACAUGUGUGUGUGUAUCUUUAUUGAAAUACAGGAAGAAGGUCUCGCCUCCACUUCACAGACGCAGACGUGGUCUCCGCUUCCCACGCGAAGGUGUAGAGUCUCCAGGUCCUCGUCUCUCCGCUUUGCACUCUGCUAGACGUCCGGUGCUCUGGCCCCAGAAGAAACGAUUACAGUUUAAGGUGUAACUAAUGAUAACAUACAAUGUUAUAAAUAUUAUUUAUGCCAAGGAGGGGGGGAAAAAAAAACUAUAAAAAAAAUUGUUACACGCAAUUAUUUACAGUCAUUACUUAUAGACUUAUGUUCUAGGGAUCUACUUAAUAUAGAAAACAUAUCAAAUAUCGUAUUCCAUGCAGAACGGAUGCAAUAACGAAAUCAGGAAGGAAGCAUCGGAAUAAACGAAAAUCUAGGAACAGAAUCGAACAGAUAUACAUAUGUAUGUACCUAUAUAAGUAUGUAUGUUUUUGUUUUUGUUUUCCUUUAAAUACAGCUUAAAGACAAAGAAAGACUCGGAUUACAGUUUAAGGAUUUUGUUUCUUUAAUCUGGAGCUGCCUCAUGCUUUUGCCUUUUCUUUUGCUACGUUUCGUACGUUCCUCCUACGAUCCUCUUACGUUUUCUCGGUUUUUAACAAUAUGUACAUUCCUCACGAUGGGGCCUAAAAUAAUCUUGCUUGCCUUACAACAAUUUAUAUAUCAGAUAUAUAUAUAUAUAUAUAUAUGUUAUGUUAUGUGUAUAGUAGUCUAUGAAUUGUAUAUGUAUCGGGGGAUAUUAUGCUUAUUUGCUGUCGUCUUCCGGCUGCCCUUCAUCGGGGCAUUUUUAUCUUCUCUUCGCACUCGAAUUAUACAUUAAAAGUCGGGGUAAGAAUCUCUUGAACAAUAUAACACGUUUUCACUUAACUACGAAAUACGAAGUACGAAACAGAGAGGGAUAAGGAGAAAGGACAAAAGAGAAAGCCUAUUCAAAUUGUA
RNAcentral lists this small RNA (1409 nucleotides) under Drosophila pseudoobscura pseudoobscura. RNAcentral describes it as "GA30917". The record is from RNAcentral. Lineage: Eukaryota; Metazoa; Arthropoda; Insecta; Diptera; Drosophilidae.